This 386-nucleotide ribosomal RNA is filed under the name uncultured bacterium. Its description in RNAcentral is "partial 16S ribosomal RNA". It matches the Rfam family "Bacterial small subunit ribosomal RNA", at positions 523 to 918 of the family's 1533-position model. The record is from RNAcentral.
AUACGUAGGUGGCAAGCGUUAUCCGGAAUCAUUGGGCGUAAAGGGUGCGUAGGUGGCGUACUAAGUCUGUAGUAAAAGGCAAUGGCUCAACCAUUGUAAGCUAUGGAAACUGGCAGACUUGAGUGCAGUAGAGGCAAGUGGAAUUUCUAGUGUAGCGGUUAAAUGCGUAGAUAUUAGAAGGAACACCAGUGGAGAAGGCGGCUUGCUGGGCUGUUACUGACGCUGAGACACGAAAGCGUGGGGAGCAAAUAGGAUUAGAUACCCUAGUAGUCCACGCCGUAAACGAUGAGUACUAAGUGUCGGGUAACCGGUGCUGAAGUUAACACAUUAAGUACUCCGCCUGAGUAGUACGGUCGCAAGGCUGAAACUCAAAUGAAUUGACGGGG